UCAUUUCACCUGUCUGCCCUUAGCAUGGAAGGGAAAUGCCGAUGACUUCUAUGUGUUAUGAAGGAUGGCCGUGUCCUGUGGUCCCUGGGCUAUGCUUCCAGAAAACCAGCAGGCAGCAUUUCAGUUCUAACAGUAACCACCUUGGAAAAGAUUACUACUGAUUGCUUUCUUCAAUCUCUUUUAAUGCUACAACAUAACAGGAAACAAUUGAAAGAGAAAAUCAAAAGGCAAUUAACUAUAAGGACAAGAGAAAGAUCACUGUCCUCUUUAUCUUUGAUCUAUUGUACAUAAUACUUUAAGAAGUUCUUGGUAGGUAUCACAAUUCAAAAGGAAAACACAUCAAUUUCACUUCAAGCUGCAGCCCCCAGGGUAAGCAUUCAGC
Molecule: long non-coding RNA, 382 nt
Organism: Talpa occidentalis (Iberian mole)
Lineage: Eukaryota; Metazoa; Chordata; Mammalia; Eulipotyphla; Talpidae
Exons: 3
Source: RefSeq, a predicted model, not a curated record